GUUCAGACAACUGGGACAUUAGAUAUUAUCUUUUUUUCUUUCCUUAAACAUUUUUAAGUUCUCCAUGCUUCACUUUAUUACUUUAGAUACAGGCAGGUGUUACAGCCUAUAACCUCCCAGGUUUUGGUGGGAGUCAUUUAAAAUAUUCUUUUCCUUCCCUCGCACUCUUUCUCUCUUUCUAAUUUAAAUUAGAAAGGAAUUCUGCUUGUUUUUGCUAUUGCCAAUUCUGGGAGCCUAAGACAGCCUCCAAGAGCCCACGCUCUGGGAUAUGUGAUUGAUUCUAAUAUGGCUGGCAUCAGCUUUAGGACUAACUAUUGGUAAUUUUAAGAUUUUCCACUUUGCAUUUUAGGACACCAAGACAUAAGAAAGCUCCUUUCUGAGGGAGUGCAGUCAGAGAUUUGUUGUUCUCUCUAGUGCUAUUUCUAUGUAGCAU
This 433-nucleotide long non-coding RNA is filed under the name Bos taurus (domestic cattle). RNAcentral describes it as "long non-coding RNA NONBTAT010859". The record is from RNAcentral. Lineage: Eukaryota; Metazoa; Chordata; Mammalia; Artiodactyla; Bovidae.